RNAcentral lists this ribosomal RNA (253 nucleotides) under uncultured bacterium. Its description in RNAcentral is "partial 16S ribosomal RNA". It matches the Rfam family "Bacterial small subunit ribosomal RNA", at positions 524 to 776 of the family's 1533-position model. The record is from RNAcentral.
UACGGAGGGGGCUAGCGUUGUUCGGAAUUACUGGGCGUAAAGCGCACGUAGGCGGCUUUGUAAGUUAGAGGUGAAAGCCCAGAGCUCAACUCUGGAACUGCCUUUAAGACUGCAUCGCUUGAAUUGUGGAGAGGUAAGUGGAAUUCCGAGUGUAGAGGUGAAAUUCGUAGAUAUUCGGAAGAACACCAGUGGCGAAGGCGACUUACUGGACACAUAUUGACGCUGAGGCUCGAAAGCAUGGGGAGCAAACAGG